Molecule: long non-coding RNA, 1086 nt
Filed under: Salmo salar (Atlantic salmon)
Lineage: Eukaryota; Metazoa; Chordata; Actinopteri; Salmoniformes; Salmonidae
Description: lncRNA (ENSSSAG00000089377.1)
Source: RNAcentral
UGAUUAUGUCAGACUUGUAGGAGAAAAAGAAGAGACACGACUGGCUGCCCGGCUGAAGCGAGGGGAUGUGGAAUAUGUCAUCGCUGCCAGGUGGAGGGAUCAGGUGACCUUGCUUGCCAUCUCGGCAGGAAGGGAGGAAAAGUUAAUGUGUUCACGCGACGACGUCUAGGUUUCCCCCCCGAUACAUCUCGCCUGUCAUUGGUUAAUUAUUAAGUGUGGGAAAAAGAGGCUUGUAUAUCAAAGGGCAUGGUAGAUAUGGCACCACAUUAACACCGGAUGGCUCAGCCCACAGAAGAACGCUGUCAUUUUUCAUCAUACCCCAAAUUGAUUGGUAUCUACAGGAUUUAUUGAAGAGCAAAACCAUUCACAAGACCUCAAGGUUUCUGGCUGUAAUGCUAAGGACCUGAAGUUAACAGCGUGGCGGAUGCUCUACAUUGCAUUCUGUCAAACUGCCUUGCCAUUGCCACAACCUGGACUGGGGCAGAGCAUAAGGCCUGUUUGAGGGACUUGUUUCUGAAGACCAUUCUUCACAAAGCCAUUCGGAAGAACCCAGGAUGCCAUGGAUAAGGGGGUCCAGAUUCAGGUCACCCUUUAGCUGAAAGGGGCCUCCGAUUGUGAAGGCGGGAGAAGGUGGCGGACAGGGGAGAGGGAUCCGCUGCAGUGAGGGUCAGCAUCAAGUCUCGGACCAUUUAUCUCAAAACCAGCCUCUACCCCCAAGCCACAAGACUGAUCCAACAGCUGAACCCUGGACUGACUCCUGCACCCUACCACACACUUACCAUUUAUUCAUAUUCUGUACACACUUAAAUCACUUUAGUCUACCAGACCAAUGAAAUAGUUAUGUCACCUAACUGCACUACGUAGAUAUACUUUCAUUAUAAUUCUAUGCUGAUACUGCACUGUAGUUAUUAGGCCUAAGCACAUGGGCAAAAAAAUGUCCAUACUAUAUGAAUGUAGGCUAUUUUGGUUUUAAUCUUAAGGCUAUUUUGGUUUGAUCUUAUUCUUAUUUACAUCUUAUUUUCUUUGAUCUGCAUGCUUCUUUUGCACUUGUUUUUAUUGUUUUAUUGUUAGUACAUCACAUAGUAA